Molecule: small nucleolar RNA, 106 nt
Organism: Lycium barbarum (goji berry)
Lineage: Eukaryota; Viridiplantae; Streptophyta; Magnoliopsida; Solanales; Solanaceae
Source: RefSeq, a predicted model, not a curated record
AAACCAUGACUUGGAAAUUUCUGUAAAUACUUUUUAAAUCUCUCCCAAGCUUCAUACAAUUGUUCCCCUGGUCACUGCUUGAAUUCAUAGAUCUUGUCACGAAUCU